GGAGACCAUAGAUGAGUCACAGGUUAGGUCGACCCAACCCUUACUGGCCAUAGAGUUAGGAAAUGUAUCCCGAGACCUCAAGACUGACCUAUUAGGUGGGGGAGUUCGGAUCACAGUACAGAAUCUUCCGUGCAUGGUCUCACAGACUACCUUGAUCAAGAGACUGAGAGAUCUGUCUUGAUCGAGGAGAAUCUUACAGCUCUUAGAGACAAGUACGACAUACCUAAUAAAUAUGAAAUGCUAGUGCCGAA
RNAcentral lists this long non-coding RNA (251 nucleotides) under Elaeis guineensis (African oil palm). Its description in RNAcentral is "long non-coding RNA (EGUI_LNC011596)". The record is from RNAcentral. Lineage: Eukaryota; Viridiplantae; Streptophyta; Magnoliopsida; Arecales; Arecaceae.